GCGCGUUCCGUCUACAUAAAACUCAUCAGUGACGCUCAUAUCAAAAUAUUUAUAAAGCCAAACAAGUACAAAGUUGAAGAGCAUUGAGGAUACAAAUUCCAAAAAGUUGUGCCAAAUACGGCUAAGGUAAUCUAUGCCUGGGAUAAGAAAAUCCUUAGUUUUUCGAAAAAUUCAAAGUUUUGUAAACAGGAAAUUCAUAAAAAUGACCACAUUAUUGAUAUUCAUGUCAACACCGAAGUGUUGACUACUGGGCUGGCGAAA
This 261-nucleotide long non-coding RNA is filed under the name Mytilus galloprovincialis (Mediterranean mussel). Lineage: Eukaryota; Metazoa; Mollusca; Bivalvia; Mytilida; Mytilidae. The record is from RNAcentral.